Molecule: ribosomal RNA, 253 nt
Filed under: uncultured bacterium
Lineage: Bacteria
Description: partial 16S ribosomal RNA
Rfam family: Bacterial small subunit ribosomal RNA
Source: RNAcentral
UACAGAGGUCUCAAGCGUUGUUCGGAUUCAUUGGGCGUAAAGGGUGCGUAGGUGGCGCGCUAAGUCAGGUGUGAAAUUUCGGAGCUUAACUCCGAAACUGCAUUUGAUACUGGCGUGCUUGAGGAUUGGAGAGGAGACUGGAGUUCAUGGUGUAGCAGUGAAAUGCGUAGAGAUCAUGAGGAAGACCAGUGGCGAAGGCGGGUCUCUGGACAGUUCCUGACACUGAGGCACGAAGGCCAGGGGAGCAAACGGG